Molecule: ribosomal RNA, 255 nt
Filed under: uncultured Gardnerella sp.
Lineage: Bacteria; Bacillati; Actinomycetota; Actinomycetes; Bifidobacteriales; Bifidobacteriaceae
Description: partial 16S ribosomal RNA
Rfam family: Bacterial small subunit ribosomal RNA
Source: RNAcentral
CGAACGGGUGAGUAAUGCGUGACCAACCUGCCCCAUGCUCCAGAAUAGCUCUUGGAAACGGGUGGUAAUGCUGGAUGCUCAACUUGACGCAUGUCUUGUUGGGAAAGUGUUUAGUGGCAUGGGAUGGGGUCGCGUCCUAUCAGCUUGUAGGCGGGGUAAUGGCCCACCUAGGCUUCGACGGGUAGCCGGCCUGAGAGGGCGGACGGCCACAUUGGGACUGAGAUACGGCCCAGACUCCUACGGGAGGCAGCAGGG